This 254-nucleotide ribosomal RNA is filed under the name uncultured bacterium. Its description in RNAcentral is "partial 16S ribosomal RNA". It matches the Rfam family "Bacterial small subunit ribosomal RNA", at positions 524 to 776 of the family's 1533-position model. The record is from RNAcentral.
UACGGAGGGUGCAAGCAUUAAUCGGAUUCAUUGGGCGUAAAGAGCACGUAGGCGGGCGUGAAAGUCAGACGUGAAAUCCCGGAGCUCACCUCCGGAACUGCGUUUGAAACUUCAUGUCUAGAGGGUAGGCGGAGAAAACGGAAUUCCACAAGUAGCGGUGAAAUGCGUAGAUAUGUGGAAGAACGCCCGUGGCGAAAGCGGUUUUCUAGCUUACUCCUGACGCUGAGGAUGCGAAAGCAAGGGGAGCAAACAGG